UGAUGCAUCUGUUCUAAUACUUUUAUGGAAUUAUAUAUAGGGGCUGCUGAUUGUGUGCGUUUACUAGUUAGAUUUUGUUUGCAAUCAAGGGUGAACACUAUGAUCGUAGUAUCAUCUCCAUGACUGGAAAGUUUGUGCCUAUACCAUUGCUUCUUUCCUUCAGGCUUAAACAUUUGGUAUCACAUCUCAUUAGAGCGAGCGUGUGACCUAUGUAGCUGGGAUUACUUUGGAUUCAGCGCAACAUCGGCAGCUUAUAUUUAUAAUUUGGAACCAAACAUCAUGUGCUUAUUCUUGUAUGUGAAUGUUCUCUUGAAAAUCUUAGCUGUAUUCUUUGGAGCUUAUGUGUAUAUAUAUCUCUCUCUCUGUGUGUGUGUGUAGUCGUCACUAGUUGACAAUUUAAGUAUCUUGAUACCUCAUAAAUUUUGUAACAAACAUUGCUGGUGUUGUUUUGUUAGAAGUCAAUAUGUAUCAAAAUUUGUAAUUCUGAAUCAUCUAUUUUCUUUCUCUA
This 508-nucleotide long non-coding RNA is filed under the name Hordeum vulgare. Its description in RNAcentral is "long non-coding RNA (HVUL_LNC016269)". The record is from RNAcentral. Lineage: Eukaryota; Viridiplantae; Streptophyta; Magnoliopsida; Poales; Poaceae.